GUCUAUGGCCAUGCCACCCUGAACAAGCCCGAUCCUGUCUGAUCUCGGAAGCUAAGCAGGGUUGGGCCUGGUUAGUACUUGAAUGGGAGACCACCUAGGAAGACCAGGUGCUGCAGGUA
RNAcentral lists this ribosomal RNA (119 nucleotides) under Pteropus alecto (black flying fox). The record is from RNAcentral. Lineage: Eukaryota; Metazoa; Chordata; Mammalia; Chiroptera; Pteropodidae.